AUAGGUGUGCAUUGGAAUAAAAAAGAAAGGAAUAAAUUAAUUCAAUAUCAACCAUUUCAAUAAAACUACGAGAUCAAAAUAAUAUAUAAACAAAGAAUUUAAUUCCAAUAGAUCGAAUAUAAAUUAACAAAAGAAUCAGGUUAAUACCCGAACAAUGACAAACCACCAAACAACCAUACAAAUAAAUACUGAAAAAGCAAAUCUCUGUUCAAACUCUCAACACAUGGAUUCUUCUCUCAAAUACCAGAAACAAACUCAUUGUCUCAACAGAGCGAAUAGAGAGACAAUUAGAGAUGUUGCAAUAAAGGAACCGGAAGCCGGUAAAGAGAACGCAGCUCCGGCGUCCGGUGACGGAGCUGGUGCCAUCCCUAUCCCCUGUGCGGAGGAAGUAACCGCGGCAAGGAGGAUGGUGAGAACCAAGACUUGGAUGGUAACGCUAAUCUGAGCCAUCUCUGAGAACUGUGAUCGGAAAAAUGAAGUUUGGUGAAACUGAGAAAUUGUGGUAUGCUACAAUACGUGCUGUGGUGAAGAAGACGGUCAAUAUGCGUGGUAUUUAUAUAGAAUAGGAGUGGAGGGAGGGAUUUGUGGGGCCUGCAUGUGAAGAGAUGAAUUAAAAU
RNAcentral lists this long non-coding RNA (617 nucleotides) under Nicotiana benthamiana. RNAcentral describes it as "long non-coding RNA (NBEN_LNC041332)". Lineage: Eukaryota; Viridiplantae; Streptophyta; Magnoliopsida; Solanales; Solanaceae. The record is from RNAcentral.